CGUGAAAUUGUUGAAAGGGAAGCGUUCAUGACCAGACUUGGGCAGGUUGAUCAUCCGUGGUUCUCCGCGGUGCACGCGGCCUGCCCAGGCCAGCAGAAGAGCGACCCGGGGGAUCAAGGGGGCGGGAAUGUGACUCCUCCGGGAGUGUUAGAGCAAAUUGCGUAAUACCCUAGGACGGACUGAGGUUCGCGCUCUGCAAGGAUGCUGGCGUAAGGGGAAGCAACGACCCGUCUUGAAACACGG
RNAcentral lists this ribosomal RNA (243 nucleotides) under Bionectriaceae sp. RNAcentral describes it as "partial large subunit ribosomal RNA". Lineage: Eukaryota; Fungi; Ascomycota; Sordariomycetes; Hypocreales; Bionectriaceae. The record is from RNAcentral.